UACGUAGGGUGCAAGCGUUAUCCGGAAUUACUGGGCGUAAAGAGUUUGUAGGCGGUUUCUUAAGUUAGGUGUUAAAUAUAUGGGCUCAACCCAUAUGCUGCAUCUAAUACUGGGAGACUUGAGAGUGGAAGGGGCAGACGGAAUUCACGGUGGAGCGGUGGAAUGCGUAGAUAUCGUGAAGAACACCAAUGGCGAAGGCAGUCUGCUGGGCCACUUCUGACGCUGAGAAACGAAAGCGUGGGGAGCGAUCGGG
Molecule: ribosomal RNA, 253 nt
Filed under: uncultured bacterium
Lineage: Bacteria
Description: partial 16S ribosomal RNA
Rfam family: Bacterial small subunit ribosomal RNA
Source: RNAcentral